CCUUGGCAGUCAGAGGCGAUGAAAGACGUGGUAGCCUGCGAAAAGCUUCGGGGAGUCGGCAAACAGACUUUGAUCCGGAGAUCUCUGAAUGGGGGAACCCACCUAGGAUAACCUAGGUAUCUUGUACUGAAUCCAUAGGUGCAAGAGGCGAACCAGGGGAACUGAAACAUCUAAGUACCCUGAGGAAAAGAAAUCAACCGAGAUUCCCUUAGUAGUGGCGAGCGAACGGGGAUUAGCCCUUAAGCUUCAUUGAUUUUAGCGGAACGCUCUGGAAAGUGCGGCCAUAGUGGGUGAUAGCCCCGUACGCGAAAGGAUCUUUGAAGUGAAAUCGAGUAGGACGGAGCACGAGAAACUUUGUCUGAACAUGGGGGGACCAUCCUCCAAGGCUAAAUACUACUGACUGACCGAUAGUGAACCAGUACCGUGAGGGAAAGGCGAAAAGAACCCCGGAGAGGGGAGUGAAAUAGAACCUGAAACCGUAUGCGUACAAGCAGUGGGAGCCUACUUGUUAGGUGACUGCGUACCUUUUGUAUAAUGGGUCAGCGACUUAUAUUCAGUGGCAAGCUUAACCGUAUAGGGUAGGCGUAGCGAAAGCGAG
RNAcentral lists this ribosomal RNA (598 nucleotides) under Pseudomonas aeruginosa. RNAcentral's name for it is "partial 23S ribosomal RNA". It matches the Rfam family "Bacterial large subunit ribosomal RNA", at positions 31 to 681 of the family's 2925-position model. The record is from RNAcentral. Lineage: Bacteria; Pseudomonadati; Pseudomonadota; Gammaproteobacteria; Pseudomonadales; Pseudomonadaceae.